UACGAAGGGGGCUAGCGUUGCUCGGAAUUACUGGGCGUAAAGCGCACGUAGGCGGACUCUUAAGUCGGUGGUGAAAUCCUGGAGCUCAACUCCAGAACUGCCUCCGAUACUGCGAGUCUCCGAGUCCGGGAGAGGUGAGUGGAACUGCGAGUGUAGAGGUGAAAUUCGUAGAUAUUCGCAAGAACACCAGUGGCGAAGGCGGCUCACUGGCCCGGUACUGACGCUGAGGUGCGAAAGCGUGGGGAGGCAAACAGGAUU
RNAcentral lists this ribosomal RNA (258 nucleotides) under uncultured bacterium. RNAcentral's name for it is "partial 16S ribosomal RNA". It matches the Rfam family "Bacterial small subunit ribosomal RNA", at positions 524 to 779 of the family's 1533-position model. The record is from RNAcentral.